CCUACGGGAGGCUGCAGUGAGGAAUAUUGGUCAAUGGACGAGAGUCUGAACCAGCCAAGUAGCGUGAAGGAUGACUGCCCUAUGGGUUGUAAACUUCUUUUAUAAAGGAAUAAAACGAGGCACGUGUGCCUUUUUGCAUGUACUUUAUGAAUAAGGAUCGGCUAACUCCGUGCCAGCAGCCGCGGUAAUACGGAGGAUCCGAGUGUUAUCCGGAUUUAUUUGGGUUAAAGGGAGCGUAGAUGGGUUGUUAAGUCAGUUGUGAAAGUUUGCGGCUCAACCGUAAAAUUGCAAUUGAUACUGGCAGUCUUGAGUACAGUUGAGGUAGGCGGAAUUCGUGGUGUAGCGGUGAAAUGCUUAGAUAUCACGAAGAACCCCGAUUGCGAAGGCAGCUUACUAAACUGUGACUGACAUUGAUGCUCGAAAGUGUGGGUAUCAAACAGGAUUAGAUACCCCAGUAGUC
Molecule: ribosomal RNA, 460 nt
Filed under: uncultured bacterium
Lineage: Bacteria
Description: partial 16S ribosomal RNA
Rfam family: Bacterial small subunit ribosomal RNA
Source: RNAcentral